Molecule: long non-coding RNA, 1130 nt
Organism: Mauremys reevesii (Reeves's turtle)
Lineage: Eukaryota; Metazoa; Chordata; Testudines; Geoemydidae
Exons: 3
Source: RefSeq, a predicted model, not a curated record
UCCACACACUAGGGAUUGCCAUGACCCCAUGUGCUGGUGGUACGACCCCAUUUGGGAUUGUUACCCACAGUCUGGGAACCAUUGAUCAAUGGCAUAUGGGCGCCCUCAGCCAAAUAAUCCAGUCUUAGAAAUUCACUGUCCUUGAGGGUCCACCAGAGCCCAUUUCCUCCAGCCUUCAAGACAGGAUGCAAAACAUUUGUUUCAGUGGCUCUACCUUCUAGUUUUGUUGCCUCAUUAAUUUUCUGUUUGAAAACUGUUUUGAAUCGGUCAUGGUGGGUAACCAUUGCUACACAAAUUGAAAUAACAGGAAGUUAACACACGCAGUCUACAGGACCCAUUCCCUGUACCAGUGCAAGCCCCAUAGACUCAUUCCACUCUUGAGAUAGCAGGUCUUUUUCUCAGAGCGUAUGACAACACAAGAAGCCAAUUCAACAUGGAGACUGGGAGAAGAUUGCACAGAAGGCAGAGAUAGAAAAGACUUGGAUCAUCUCCUCCGUCUUCUCACCCAUGAGAGAUUGUUCCCUACCUUGCACAGCCAUUGAUAAGAAGCUGAGUUUCUUUGUGCACAGCCCAGGCUGCUUUCAUUGCCAGGGAGCUUUCUUUGACAAGCUUCUUAGGGCAGAUAGGUGGGCAGUGAACCAGUUACAUUAUGAUCUUCACCUAGUGCUGGAAUCUAGCUCCGAGUUCACCUUUUCGUGUCAGUUUGACCUCCUGGCCUUCACUUGUCUUCAGACUCAAGUGGUGAAUUGGCACAACUCUGAUUGUGGACCAGGCCUCAGACAUCUGCUCUAGCAAACUUCAUAGCCUUUGGUCAUUACUGGAGAAACAACAGAAGCUGUACUACAGACAGGAUGCAAGAAUUCUUACCACCCUGGUUACAGCUUGUAUGUUGUUCUACUGCAGACAGAUAGAGGCUGCCGCCACUCCAGCUGCUACCAUGUAUGAGGAGGACUUGGUACAGUACUCCAAAAAUACCCUUCCAUCAGGCUUAGACAGUUGAUGGCACAUACACCACCAACCACCUACACAAGCACCUCGUGAAACCAGACAUCAGGAUUCUAUCUGAUGUGGCAAAGAAGAGGUUAUGGACCCAGAGGUGCUGAUACAGGUUAAUCCUCAUCCAGUUUGGA